CUCUAUCUCAUGCGAAAUUUAAUGUUCUCCCACGUCGUUGUAGAUAAAUGACUUCGAAUAUUAGGUUACAAGAAGAAUGUGGCAGGAAUAUCCUAGCAAGUAUUAGUUACCUAUAUUUCAUCUUCCACUUGCUCAUCAAUAACUUAUGUCAUGCUAAUUUAUUAAGUUCAUUGUGUUUGUUUGGAUCAAUAGAUUAUUUUUAGCAAGAGAUCAAAAUCUUCUGAGGAAAUAUACCCACAAGUGGAUUGGUGACUGAGCAUCAACAUAUUGGUUUCGACGUAGUAUCUUAUAGGAUGACUAUGAUGAUGAUGGGGAACGAUAUAAAACAGUGAGCUGAGUUUUGAAUAAGAAGAAAUGGCGAUAUGUUAAAUGGAGGUAUUGAAGCAACAGUCGAUGAUAAUGGAGUUUACACAAGGUUGAGGAGUUCAGGUGCUUGGAGAGGUACGUAAAUUUGCUGAUGUGGUGGUCGUUUAUUUGUUGUUACAGAACAAGAUCUGAUGCUAAAUUAGUAUCUCCUGUUGCAAGAUCUUAUGAAGUUUGAACGUUUACGAAAAAUAUUGUGUGUAAAUAAGCUCUUAUGGCGCCUUCGGUAAAUUUAAAAAAUAAUAAUUGUGUAAUGAAAUAUG
Long non-coding RNA from Papaver somniferum (opium poppy), 626 nucleotides. RefSeq lists it as uncharacterized. The record is from RefSeq and is a predicted model, not a curated record. The transcript has 3 exons. NCBI's taxonomy places the organism in Eukaryota, Viridiplantae, Streptophyta, Magnoliopsida, Ranunculales, Papaveraceae.